Molecule: RNA transcript, 1733 nt
Organism: Solanum lycopersicum (tomato)
Lineage: Eukaryota; Viridiplantae; Streptophyta; Magnoliopsida; Solanales; Solanaceae
Source: RefSeq, a predicted model, not a curated record
CAGCCGCGAUUGCCAGAAAAAAGCAGAACCCAGACGCGCAGAAAAUUUCCAGAAUUUCUCCUUCCCUUCUCCUUCCUCACGCGACCCCGCGUCUCUUUCACGCGUAAGAUUCCCCACCGUUCUUCCUCUUCUCCUUCACCACGCGACACCCCCAGCAGAAAAAACAGAACCGAACCCGAUAGCACAACUGUCUCUUGUCGUUCUCUCGCAGCAUCUCCCUCGCUUGUACGACUCUGCAGCACAAGACGACGCGAGAUUCAUCGUUGGUGUCGUGGGAUUGAGCCACGUCGUUUGCCAAGGACGAGGGAUCGAUCUCCACCCUCCACCUCGCCUUUUCCGUUCGAGUCGUCCGUAUUUGGAUAAGGUUUGGAAUUUGAAUUCCAAAUGGGCCGAAUAUUUUGGAAAUCCCUCGUCUUACCCCCCUAAUCAAAACCCUAAUUUUCUCUUCUAUAUAAACCCCAUCUUCUUCAGAAAAGGGGUUGGAAAUUUUAGGUUGGGAAAUUUUGGGGUUAAAAAUUUUUCAAGCUUCUCUUUUCGACUGUUCUUCUUCUGUCCAGUUUGAGAGGAGAUUGUCAACCUAUUUUAGAAAGUUUCGUCAAGAACAAAAUAGGUAUAGAGAUAAACCUAAGGGAUCGAAAAGAAGUUGAGAAAUACUUUCAGUUCCGUCGUUCGGCUGUGGUAUUCCGUUUAGACGUCUUAGCCGUGGUUCGAGUGUGCUUUCGGUGAUGAAGUUCAUUCCUCGUCUAGCUCGACAAUCCUCGUUCGCUGCUUUUGAUAAGAUGUCGAGUCAGUUCCUUCAUUUCAACAUGGUCACCCAGGCGCCUGAUAUUCUUCGCGUAUAGUGGGACAACCUCAAAGAGUGUCAAAAGAGAGAAAUCUUGAUUUACUUGGGUCACCUACCUUCUAUAAUGAACUUCAAGGUAUGACCCACGUUUAUCGAGGUCAUCACUCAAUUUUGGGACGACGAGAAGAUGGUCUUUCGAUUCGGAGAUAUCGAAAUAACACCCACACUAGAGGAAAUCAAGGAAUGCCUUGACUCAAUUAGGACAUGUGGCAAAAGGAAAAAAUGUCUGAAUCAUCACAUUCUCCUUCCAGAUAGGCCAACUAGUAAUGAAUUGAAAAACAUAUUAUUCCUUGUGAAUGCAAAUUGGUUAGAGACCCACGACAUUCCACUAAUGAGAUUUUUCGAAAGAUGGAGGCACGACAAUUAUUUCAAACUAUUCCCGAACGAAUUCUACGAUUACAGUAGCUAGAGGCAAACUCAGGCUAUUGCUUUCUCCGCAUGCCUUUUAGAAACUAUGGUGUUCCUUAAAGAUGAAGGAAAAGAAAUCGAUACACGGGUAGUGAUGGUGGUGAAUGCCAUGUUCAGAGGAAUAGGUAGAAAAUCAGAAGAAAAGAAGUAUUGUUGUUUGGCCCUAGUCAUUUUGGCCGACAUUUAUCAAUCCUUAAGUCUGUGUAAAAAUUGGUUCCUAUUUUUCCAAGGUUGCAACAUUCUACUCCAAUGGUGGUUGACUGAGCAUUUAUGUAAAAGGGACGACCCCCAGCCACAGGAGUUGGCCAAACCAAGUCAGAGAAGGCCAUAAGAGGAGCCGAAUCAUCAACCUUUUAACUCCCCUGCGUGGGAUUGUUUUUAUAUAUGUAUUUGCAUUACAUCCCUUUCCUAAAAUGUAUCCCGUUUGAUUUUUAUUAUGUAAUGAACGUUAUGAUAUUUAGUGAAAUUUAUUUCGGGGAUA